This 465-nucleotide ribosomal RNA is filed under the name uncultured Streptococcus sp. RNAcentral's name for it is "bacterial SSU rRNA". It matches the Rfam family "Bacterial small subunit ribosomal RNA", at positions 338 to 795 of the family's 1533-position model. The record is from RNAcentral. Lineage: Bacteria; Bacillati; Bacillota; Bacilli; Lactobacillales; Streptococcaceae.
CCUACGGGAGGCAGCAGUAGGGAAUCUUCGGCAAUGGACGGAAGUCUGACCGAGCAACGCCGCGUGAGUGAAGAAGGUUUUCGGAUCGUAAAGCUCUGUUGUAAGAGAAGAACGAGUGUGAGAGUGGAAAGUUCACACUGUGACGGUAACUUACCAGAAAGGGACGGCUAACUACGUGCCAGCAGCCGCGGUAAUACGUAGGUCCCGAGCGUUAUCCGGAUUUAUUGGGCGUAAAGCGAGCGCAGGCGGUUAGAUAAGUCUGAAGUUAAAGGCUGUGGCUUAACCAUAGUACGCUUUGGAAACUGUUUAACUUGAGUGCAGAAGGGGAGAGUGGAAUUCCAUGUGUAGCGGUGAAAUGCGUAGAUAUAUGGAGGAACACCGGUGGCGAAAGCGGCUCUCUGGCUUGUAACUGACGCUGAGGCUCGAAAGCGUGGGGAGCAAACAGGAUUAGAUACCCGUGUAGUC